UACAGAGGGGGCAAGCGUUGUUCGGACUUACUGGGCGUAAAGGGCGCGUAGGCGGCCUGUUAAGUCGAACGUGAAAUCCCCGGGCUCAACCCGGGAACUGCGUCCGAUACUGGCAGGCUUGAAUCUGGGAGAGGGAUGCGGAACUCCAGGUGUAGCGGUGAAAUGCGUAGAUAUCUGGAGGAACACCGGUGGCGAAGGCGGCUCUCUAGUACGGUACUGACGCUGAGACGCGAAAGCGUGGGGAGCGAACAGG
RNAcentral lists this ribosomal RNA (253 nucleotides) under uncultured bacterium. RNAcentral describes it as "partial 16S ribosomal RNA". It matches the Rfam family "Bacterial small subunit ribosomal RNA", at positions 524 to 776 of the family's 1533-position model. The record is from RNAcentral.